This 252-nucleotide ribosomal RNA is filed under the name uncultured bacterium. Its description in RNAcentral is "partial 16S ribosomal RNA". It matches the Rfam family "Bacterial small subunit ribosomal RNA", at positions 333 to 599 of the family's 1533-position model. The record is from RNAcentral.
UUUUCCCUACGGGGGGCAGCAGUGGGGGAUAUUGGACAAUGGGGGGAACCCUGAUCCAGCGACGCCGCGUGAGUGAAGAAGUAUUUCGGUAUGUAAAGCUCUGUCAGCAGGGAAGAAAGAAAUGACGGUACCUGACCAAGAAGCCCCGGCUAACUAUGCGCCAGCAGCCGCGGUAAUACGUAGGGGGCAAGCGUUAUCCGGAUUUACUGGGUGUAAAGGGUGCGUAGACGGCUGUGUAAGUCUGAAGUGAAA